UUUGGCUGGUGUAGAUAAUCUGUCUGGGUAAUUAAUGAAGCUUGUUGGCUUUUGUGCUAGGAAAUCCAGGCAAUGGAGUCACCCAUUGCUGAUUACCUGGAAUUUAAUUUCUAAAGAGGUAAUGAGGUGGUGAAGGAAGCUUCGCAUUUCAGCUCUAAUAUCAACGUCUCUGUCUUCCCUUACUUCCUAUUAGGCCUUUGAUGUCCUGCUUCUGUGCUUUCUUUAAAGAAUUUUUUUCUUUACUCAGUUCUAGGUAUCACGUUAUACUAUUUACCUGUUUCCCCCUCUAGAUUGCGAUUUAGUCUUGAUUUCGUAUGGUUGUGCCUUUGAGUCAUGCGUCAGGUCCUUAUCCAGUGUCUAGUAUGCACUAACUAUUGAAUAUUCUACAACAGUUUCUAGUCUGCAGUUCAUUUUCUGGUGCAUUUUCUCGUUCGAUAUUGACAACCACCUUUUGAGACAGGCGGCAUCCUGUGUAUUAACAAUCCCUAAGUGACAGAGGGAUUUUGAGGCCCAGAGAAGUGAUGCAGUUUGCUUAACAGCCCGGGCAGAUAGGAAGAGCAGAAGGAUUUGAACUAAGACUCCAUGACAUCAGACCUUGUGUUCCUUCCACUGAGCUGCCCAGGCACACUGCUGGGUGAACGGGGAACAAAAUCCCGUAGCUACCAGAGACAGCAGGAGAAUGUCAGUUGGUUAGGUGCCACGAACACCCUCGUCCCCUCUUUUCUACCUGUCCAAAACCUACUACGAAGAAUGUCAAGAUGGAGGUGUCAGCACAUUCAUCCCAGCGCUAGGCCUUUCUGAGCGUGAGGUCCUGUCUAGCUGCCCAGAUCCUAUGUCCAUGAUGAUGGCCCUGGCAAAAAGAAGAAUCUUCUGACGGCAGAUGGGGAGCAAAAAGGUGAGAAGAAACAGCAAUGUCCUAAUCACCCUGGACAGAAGGGGAGGCCCACGUCACACUAGAACUCAUCUCCCAGCCCCACUAGCAUGCAGACACAACCACUGAUUCACCAGUCUCUGGACAGGCGGGCAGCAGCAGCAACGGGGGCGCC
Molecule: non-coding RNA, 1046 nt
Organism: Microcebus murinus (gray mouse lemur)
Lineage: Eukaryota; Metazoa; Chordata; Mammalia; Primates; Cheirogaleidae
Source: RefSeq, a predicted model, not a curated record